CAUGAAGGCGGAAUCGCUAGUAAUCGCGGAUCAGCAUGCCGCGGUGAAUACGUUCCCAGGCCUUGUACACACCGCCCGUCACACCAUGGGAGUUGGAUUGACCCGAAGGCAGUGGGCUAACCCGCAAGGGAGGCAGCUGACCACGGUCGGUUCAGUGACUGGGGUGAAGUCGUAACAAGGUAGCCGUAGGGGAACCUGCGGCUGGAUCACCUCCUUUCUAAGGA
Molecule: ribosomal RNA, 224 nt
Filed under: Sphingomonadales bacterium 28-64-96
Lineage: Bacteria; Pseudomonadati; Pseudomonadota; Alphaproteobacteria; Sphingomonadales
Description: partial 16S ribosomal RNA
Rfam family: Bacterial small subunit ribosomal RNA
Source: RNAcentral